AAACAGUGAGAAGCACUCAUUAAGAAUGCAUUUUCAAAAUAAAAGCAGCUCUGCUUUGAUUUAAUAACACCUCUUUGUUUUACAUAGGCUUCUAACACAGUUUACCCCUCACACACUAACAGCCUGAUCAGGACGUGCUCGCACAACCACAAGUGUGCUGUAAAAAGCUGCCAUCCCACAGGCCCUGGGAGGAGAUACAGGCACAAACAGCCUCCUGCAGAGCAAACUGAGCCAGGCUGGCUGCAGGCGUUCCCUGGGACGUGCCCCUCUCCACCUCAUGUGGGGCCCUGUGCAGGCCCGAGCCAAAAAGCCGCCUCACGCUGCCACCCCAUGUUCCUCAGGCUGUUGUUGGUGGAACAAGAAGCUGAGUGGCUGUGUAUGCCCCUGUGAAACAGCCCCAGUGCCUGGAAGAUGAGUAGGUCUCUUAGACUAAUUACCCGAGCAGUAAAACAACAUGCGCUGUUUGUGCACUCCUGUGCAUGCGAGGUGUGCAGGCAGGACAGCUGGCCCUGCCACAGUGCAGGGAGAAGUGGAGAUUUCACUGCUAAAAGCAGCACAAGUCAGCUGACUAACAUACAUGAUGCUAUCAGUCAGAUCUAUAUUGGUGCUCCUUGAAAGUGUGAUUAAAAUGCUUCCACAGGGAAUGAACAACCCGCAUGCCCUCAGCCGUGUGCUAUCCAGGAUCUCUCGUGUAUGUAUAUAUAUACAAAUAUAUAUACCUGUUGGGUAGUGCAUGAUUUCUGUAGUUCAGCCCCUCGCUUUGUCACUGAUUUGAUCGCUCCUUAUGUUCUUAAUUAAAUUAAAGGUCUGUGAGGUUCUGGCCAAAUUAAUCAUGGCUGGGAACCAAUAUUCAUGUUUCUCUGCAGCUUUGAAGUCUAUUUAAUCUAUCCUGUUAUCGCUGUAAUAUUUGAGAUGUGACCAGGACUUUGUAAGGAGACAUAUUAGACAGAUUGCAAAGUUAAUGGGGACAUAUGGGUGUUGUUUCUCAGCCAUUAUUCUUUCUGUAAUUGCGGUGGAAAGAAUCUGUCAGCGGAAAUGUGCUCCUCAGUAAUACACUGCUGUGGCACAUUGGUAAGUGUUGUGGAUAGCAGUGGUCUGUGGAAGUGUGUUCUGUGCAUGCAGUUGAUCACUCUGUACUCUGUAUUUGUUUUCUUGGAAACAUUUAACCAAUGAUGGAGUCAUUUGGGAAUAUAUCUGGCAUAAGCUUUGACUUCCACAGCACCGUACACAAUUUUCUGAUCAGCCUUAUGAUAAAACAAAAGAAAAAUCUUAUUCUCUUUGUGGUUUUCUGCCUGUGAGUUUUGGUUGAUGCACUGUGUGCUUGCUGGUCAGCAAACCCCUGGGAAACUCAGCAUCAUUGAAUAGAACACCUGCCUCAUUUUGUUUUCCAGCCACUUCCUCAAGUCUAAUCUGUUACAUCUCUGUUUAAAUUAGCACAGCCAAGCAGGUAUGAAACUAAAGUCUUAACCACUCAUGUCAUGUUUCAUAAGAUUAGGCAGGAAGCACUCCAUAAAUUCCAGUAGUUAACACUCAUUUUAAUUGAAUUGCCCCCAG
Numida meleagris (helmeted guineafowl) is the source of this 1554-nucleotide long non-coding RNA. NCBI's taxonomy places the organism in Eukaryota, Metazoa, Chordata, Aves, Galliformes, Numididae. The record is from Ensembl.